GUCGGAUUAGCUAGUUGGUGAGGUAAAGGCUCACCAAGGCGACGAUCCGUAGCUGGUCUGAGAGGAUGAUCAGCCACACUGGGACUGAGACACGGCCCAGACUCCUACGGGAGGCAGCAGUGGGGAAUAUUGGACAAUGGGCGAAAGCCUGAUCCAGCAAUGCCGCGUGAGUGAUGAAGGCCUUAGGGUUGUAAAGCUCUUUUACCCGGGAUGAUAAUGACAGUACCGGGAGAAUAAGCCCCGGCUAACUUCCGUGCCAGCAGCCGCGGUAAUACGGAGGGGGCUAGCGUUGUUCGGAAUUACUGGGCGUAAAGCGCACGUAGGCGGCUUUGCAAGUC
This 338-nucleotide ribosomal RNA is filed under the name uncultured bacterium. Its description in RNAcentral is "bacterial SSU rRNA". It matches the Rfam family "Bacterial small subunit ribosomal RNA", at positions 235 to 589 of the family's 1533-position model. The record is from RNAcentral.